GGGGCCGCCUCACGUGGGGCCCGAGCGGCCGCGACCGCGACCGGGCUGCCCCGGAGCCUGUCAGGGCCGUCCCGCCGCUCCUGUCCGCGACCUGGGCACGGGGCAGUCAGCAGCAAAGAGGAGCUGGCCCAGAGCCUGUCAGGGCCGUCCCGCCGCUCCUGUCCGCCACCAGGGCCCGGGGCAGUCAGCAGCAAGGAGGAGCUGGCCCGGGAGGAAGGUUGGAUCCCGAGAGGCGCCCUGCUUCAGAAAACACCGGCGCUUGGAUUUAGGGCUAAACGGGAAGUGUGAAUAAUCCCCAAAGAGUUAAAAGGAUGGGAGUCAGAGAGGUCUUUUCCUCGCAGGAAACACGAGUCAUUCAGGGCUGGCAGCGGUGGGUGAUGGCGCUAGGUGUGGUAGCAUUCCCUGAAGGCUUGGAAAGGGUUUUGUACAAGGUCUUAAACAGAAUGUGUAUGUGGGCAGCCAGGGCCAGCACUGUGCUGUCCGGCUGUGGACACAGGGUGAAUGGCCGGGAUGUCGCCUUUCCACGGCAUCCACAGGGCCUUGGCGGCGAGCGCUGUUUGUUCAGACCUGUCAUUAGAACUAAAGAUCUGGCAAAAGAUCACUCUGUGCAGGAGUGGACAAAUAGACAGUAAGAAAGUACUGAGAUCACCGUGGAGAAAGGCUUGAAACUUGCUAAAAACAUUUUGCUUCUUUCUGAAAAAGCAUACUGUAUUUUUCAAAUGUUGCUUUGCUGUACCACUUAACUGGUCAUGAGCCCUUCACCACUCUGAGUCCCAGGCAUAGGGUCUCUUACACUUCUUUUUUCUUUCUCCAACAUUUCCACAGUUUUUCUCUCUAUCACCACAUGAUUAAUAUUAGUUACCUAAUAUUAGGUAAAGUGAGUGCAGUUGUGCUUACCCAUGCCCACUGCCUGUGAAUUUGGCCUCUCUUGUGUGAUCAGUUGCCAAGGUUUUUCAGCUUGCUAGAGUGUGCGGGCAGCACUGAAUCCUGCCCUAGUAUCUGGCUUUACUGAUGACUUCUGAAUGCUAUGACAGUGACUUAAACUUAACAAUCAAGCCAUUCUCAGCCAUCUUCCUCCUGCUGCCUGCACUCCUGACACUGCCACCUUGCUCACCAGCCAGGAGGUGACAGAUGUCUCUUCUUUACGUCUAAUGCCUCCCACUUGCGGACUGAAUUAAACCUCUUUGUUCCUGCGUUCAACUGACUGAAGGACAGAAGGGAAGUAUGUGUUGUGAACAGCUUCAGAAAUAGAGAACAACACAUCAGAAGGAGGUGACAGCCUUUUCAGCAUGGAAAAAUGGAUUAGGAAGAAGAAGAUGGAAAUGAAAAAGCUUGUGAAAUAAUACCACAUUUAACUGAUGUGAUUGGUGUUGCCCAAAAAUGCCUUGAUUGCUGUGCUGAGUGUGUGCCAGUGCAAAUGCCUCAAGACUUACUAGUUGGGAAUCAGUAAGGAGCUGGCUGUUGGUGCAGUUCCAGUCUCUUAGCAAGGCUUUAUCACAGUGCCUUGUGUGAGCUCAACAUUAUGCACUUAAUGGAGGUGAUGAUAGGGAAGUGGGCCUGAGCAUGAUGCUGGGAAUCACCCUUAAGUGGUCCUUCUAAGCUUCUACCUCUAAAAGUUUCUUGAGAUUUGGAAAGUUUAUUUCCUUGCCUUUUAAAUUUUUAUGGAGAACAUCAGUAUCUUUGAUUAGAGAUAAUAAAUGUUUUAUAAAAUAAAUGAAAACUCUGAAAGUUAAAAAAUUUGGUUUUAGUUUAAACUGCAAAGUUGUUAGCAUAGAAUUUCUGGACAGCUGAAACCUCACACAAAACUCCCAUCUUUUUCUUUAAAAUCUCCAGUACUCCUUAUAUUCUAUUAACAACACUUCACAGUUGUAAAGAAAUCCCUGAAUCAGGAAUUCCUUGUUACUGUUCCAGUAGGGUCCUCCUUUCAGUACUAUGCAGAACAAGAAGUUGUCAAUUGCAUAUUUGAUGUUGUUGUAUUCUAAGUCCUAAAGAUGCCUUUUAAUGUGGCAAUGUCCUUUGUUUUUGUGUGUGUUCUGUGGUGGUUUGCAAAAUCCUUAGAAUUCUGUCUGUAAAAAAAAAAAAUUAAAAAUAUUGGUGUUACUGGU
RNAcentral lists this long non-coding RNA (2105 nucleotides) under Taeniopygia guttata (zebra finch). Its description in RNAcentral is "lncRNA (ENSTGUG00000027077.1)". Lineage: Eukaryota; Metazoa; Chordata; Aves; Passeriformes; Estrildidae. The record is from RNAcentral.